CCUANGGGGGGCAGCAGUGGGGAAUUUUGCGCAAUGGGGGAAACCCUGACGCAGCAACGCCGCGUGAGUGAUGAAGGCCCUUGGGUCGUAAAGCUCUGUCAGAGGGAAAGAAAUGUGAGCGGUUAAUAGCUGUUUCACUUGACGGUACCCUCAAAGGAAGCACCGGCUAACUCCGUGCCAGCAGCCGCGGUAAUACGGAGGGUGCGAGCGUUGUUCGGAAUUAUUGGGCGUAAAGCGCGUGUAGGCGGCUUCAUAAGUCUGAUGUGAAAGCCCUGGGCUCAACCUGGGAAGUGCAUUGGAUACUGUGAGACUUGAGUACGGGAGAGGGCAGUGGAAUUCCCAGUGUAGGAGUGAAAUCCGUAGAUAUUGGGAGGAACACCGGUGGCGAAGGCGGCUGCCUGGACCGAUACUGACGCUGAGACGCGAAAGCGUGGGGAGCAAACAGGAUUAGAUACCCGGNUANUC
This 465-nucleotide ribosomal RNA is filed under the name uncultured bacterium. RNAcentral describes it as "bacterial SSU rRNA". It matches the Rfam family "Bacterial small subunit ribosomal RNA", at positions 338 to 795 of the family's 1533-position model. The record is from RNAcentral.